This 423-nucleotide ribosomal RNA is filed under the name Rhinella marina group sp. ABGD cluster 38. Its description in RNAcentral is "partial large subunit ribosomal RNA". It matches the Rfam family "Bacterial large subunit ribosomal RNA", at positions 1835 to 2457 of the family's 2925-position model. Lineage: Eukaryota; Metazoa; Chordata; Amphibia; Anura; Bufonidae. The record is from RNAcentral.
CUUGACUCUUAUAAGAGGUCCAGCCUGCCCAGUGACCAUGUUCAACGGCCGCGGUAUCCUAACCGUGCGAAGGUAGCGUAAUCACUUGUUCUUUAAAUGUGGACUAGUAUGAAUGGCACCACGAAGGUUAUACUGUCUCCUUUUUCUAAUCAGUGAAACUAAUCUCCCCGUGAAGAAGCGAGGAUAUACCUAUAAGACGAGAAGACCCUAUGGAGCUUUAAACAACACAGCAAUUACCUGCUAAACUAAGAAGUUUCUGAACAUUUUCAAUCUUUUAAGUAACCUGACUGCAAGUUUUUGGUUGGGGUGACCACGGAGCAUAACACAACCUCCAUGUUGAAAGAAUUCUUUCUAAGCCAAGAACAACCUUUCUAAGCAUCAAUAUAUUGACAUCCAUUGACCCAAUACAUUUGACCAACGAAC